Anser brachyrhynchus (Pink-footed goose) is the source of this 3819-nucleotide long non-coding RNA. Lineage: Eukaryota; Metazoa; Chordata; Aves; Anseriformes; Anatidae. The record is from Ensembl.
UGACCUUUCUCCUUUGCUUCCCUUGCAGACAGACAGGCCGGAGCUGAGGCAGGCACUGCCCCGCAGCAGUGCCACCAGUGAACGGAGAGAGCCUCUACCAGCCUUGCUGCCUCUGCCAAGGCAGGCAGCGACACUGACAGCCACACCCCGGCAUUCAGUGGGAGCUGCAAAUGUGCCCCGGCUGCCCGCUCUGCCAGCAGUAGGCUCCACCACUUCUGCGCCAUGCAGAGACCGCAUCGCGAGCACCAAGGCUGUCAGACUCCCCGAGGUCGUCCCACGUCCUCAAGGAAACCCGAGUAAACAGCAAAUGGCAGCAACUGCUGAGAGCUGGGGGACAGCCCUGCAAGUCCCCGCAUCCAUUCUGACGCCUCUGCAGGCCAGACCUGAGCAACACAACAGGCUACCCCCGAGCCAUGCUGCAGCCAAGAGCCCAAGACUCAGGGUGCAGCAGGGGGUACUAAGGCACCAUGCCCCUCCCAGCAGUCUGGCAACACCAGCAAGGACAGCCCAAGUGCCGGCAACCAAGACUGAAAAGACACCGGCAGCACAGACAGAAACAGAUGACCACGCUCAAGAGGGCACAAGAGCUGCUGGUGGGACCUCCAAGCCAUGUUCCCUGGCAGCAGCACCGGGCCCAGCAGCGCAGGCAGACGGCAUUGCCUGCCACCCUCAGGGCGAGACCCCACACCCUGGGGAUGUGGCACAGUAUCUGGCAGUCCUGGACAGUGAGCCAGAGCCUCUGGAAGAGCUGGAGAGCACCGCUGCAGGACCAUCAAGGGAGGAACAGAGGGACUUGAUGCAGAGGGAGGAGCAAAGAGAUGCUGCUACCAAGGACCCGUCAGGAGGGAGGCAGCAGAAGGAACCCACCUCAAACCUUCACCAGGACCCAGACGCAGCCCACCAGCAGGGGCCUGGCUCACCCCAUAACACUGGCGGAGAUUCUGCAGGAGAGGCAGUCAGCCACGCACAGAGUGCAUCUCUUGCCCUGUCAGGGACAACCAAUGCUGAGCCAGCAGCUUCUGCGCAGGCCACAGGUCCUGCCAGUGAGGGGGACAAGGAGCCUCUGGGUGCAUCAGCACCCAGAGAUGCUAAUUCGCCUUCUCCCCUGCCUGCCGCUAUGCCUGACCCUUCCACAAACACCCAGGGAAGACCGUCGACAUUGCAAGACCGGGUCAAGAUCAACUGGGAUGUCUAUGGGCGCUCUUCCUUUCUGCCAGCAAUGCGGACCAUUCCUAGCGGGGAGAGGGAAGGCCGCCGGUUGUCCUGGUGGAACGUGUCCUGGCCGAGCAGCGUGAGGGUUCCAAGACUGCGAGGGAUCUGGGCAGCACGUGAUGGUGACACAGCUGCCGGCACUGCACCCAGCGCAUCGGGCAGCCAGGAGAUGGCAGGGAGGACCGCGGGCCAGCGCCUUCCCUACCUUUGCCCCUCAACGAGUAAGACCACUCUGCAGGAUGUUCAGGAAGAGUGGGAAGAGAGCCCCAAGAGAAAAGCUGUGGCACAAGCAGACGACGUCCCACCCAGCAUGUCUCCUGCCCCAUCUGGUGAGGCCGAUGCCGGGCCUUCAGCUGCUCCUAUGGCUGCAGUUCCCGGGCCCGAGGAGCUCACCCCUGUCUGCAUGCCCGAAGACGGAAAAUCUUCAGCCCCUCCCCUGGCUGUGGACCCUGUGGAGGAGGCCAGCACAGCACCUCUCACCCCAUCGGCAUGUGAGGAAGAAGAAGCAGCACCUUCUCCCCUGGUUGGGAGCCUUCUGCAAGAGGUUUCCUCCGAGCCCAGAGGCAGUGCACAGCGCUCCUCGCACUUCCAAGCAGUGCCAGAGGAAGGCCCAGGCACCGCUGCCCUCCCGCACGCUGCAGCUCGCCGGCGAUGGCCCAACUUCUUCAGGACAGCGCUUCGGGCUCUGCGCAGGGCUUUCUCCUGCAGCUGCAUCACAGGAGACCGAGAGCAGCAGCAUGAGGCUGCCAGAACCAGGCAGCUCCUUAGAGAUGGCAGCUUCGGUCCCGAGGACGGGGCUUCUGAAUAAAAUCGUUCAGAACUCUUUCCUAGCUGAGGGCUGUGUCUUCUGUUCUGUUCUGUUCUGUUCUGUGUGCAUGGGUGUCUACAGGCUGCGAGUGCUGCUGCUGGGGUCAGACCCCGGGGCAGUGGGUCCCCAUUUCUGUGGUGCCAAUGCCUAGAGGGAUCGUGGGUGUACAAGGCAGUGUGAUAGCUGGCAAAGGUCAAGCCAGAUGAGCCAGUGAGUGUGGGAGGUGGAGGGCCGAGUGGCUCUGGGAGGGCCCUGGGUGUGCAAGUGCCCAUGUGUCUCCAGGGCUGAGACCACGCUGGGGUCACUGUGUUAGGGAUAAAAGGCUUAAAUUGGUCUGAUGUGAAAUAGCCAUUGUUUUAAGACUAGCAAGGGGAAACUCUGACCUUGCAAUGGUACAUAAUGCUUGCUCUGUGAUACGGCUGUCUCUUCUGUUCUGUUCUGUGUGCACGGGCGUCUAUGGGCUGCGUGUGCUGCUGUUGGGGUCAGACCCCGGGGCAGGGUGUCCCCAUCUCCGUGCUUCCAGUGCCUAGAGGGUGCACAUGUUUGCGAGGCUGUGCUACCAGUGAAGGGAGGAAGCCUCUGCCAGCCUUGCUGCCUCUCCCAAGGCAGGCAGCGACACUGACAGCCGCACCUUGGCAUUCAGUGGGAGCUGCAAAUGUCCCCCAGCUGCCACUCUGCCAGCAGUAGGCUCCACCUUUUCUGCGCCAUUCAGAGAAAACACCAUGAGCACCAUGCCCUUCAGACUCUCCGAUGUUAUCCUACAUCCUCAGCGAAACCUGGGUAACUUGCAAAUGGCAGCAAGUUCUGAGAGCUGGGGGACAGCCCUGCAAGUCAUCUCCUGACACUAGCCUUUUACAUAUUUAUAGACAUUAAUAAGGUCACCGCUCAGUCUCCUCUAAGCUAAUGAGACCCAGCUCCCUCAGCCUUUCUUCGUAAGGGAAAUGCUCUACUCCCUUAAUCAUCUUUGUUGCUCUGUGCUGAACUUUCUCAAGCAGAUUCCCUUCCUUCUUGAACUGAGGGGUCCAGAACUUGAUGCAAUAUUCCAGAUGCGGUCAGGGCAGAGCAGAGGGGGAGGAAAACCUCUCUCAACCUACUAACCAUGCCUCUUCUAAUACACCCCAGGAUGCCACUAGGCUUCUUGGCCACAAGGGUAUGGUGCUGGCUCAUGAUCAUCCCGCUGUCCACCAGGACCCCCAGGUCUCUUUCCCCUACGCUGCUCUCCAGCUGGUCAGUCCCCAACUUAUACUAGUGUCUGGAGUUGUUCUUGCCCAGAUGCAGGACUCUACACUUGCCCUCAUUAUAUUUCAUUAAAUUUCUUCCCACCCAAUUCUACCUGUCUAGGUCCAACUGAAUGGCAGCACAGUCUUCUGGUGUGUCAGCCACUACUCCCAGUUCAGUGUCAUCAGCAAACUUGCUGGCAGUGCACUCCAUUCCCUCAUCCAAGUCAUUGAUGAAUAUAUUGAACAAUACUGGUCCCAGCACCAACCCUUAAGGGGCCCCACGAAUUCCCGCUGAAUCCAGCUCGAUUCCGUCCCAUUGACCACAACUCUCUGCCUUCUUCCCUUCAGCCAGUUCAAAGUCCACCUCACUACCCAAUCAUCCAAACCACACUUCCUCAGUUUAUCUACGAGGAUGCUGUGGGAGGUGGUGUCAAAGGCUUUACUGAAAUCAAGAUAGACCACGUCCACAGCUUUUCCAUCAUCUAUCUACCUGGUUAUGUGCUAAAUAACUUAUUUCACUCCUUUUCUGCCCAUUGUGGUAAAAAUAAAUAAUUAAAUAAUAAUUAAAAAAAAAAAUGC